RNAcentral lists this transfer RNA (89 nucleotides) under Kosmotoga arenicorallina. It matches the Rfam family "tRNA". From Rfam's summary of the family: Transfer RNA (tRNA) molecules are approximately 80 nucleotides in length. Lineage: Bacteria; Thermotogati; Thermotogota; Thermotogae; Kosmotogales; Kosmotogaceae. The record is from RNAcentral. RNAcentral also lists the same sequence under 1 other name.
GGAGGCGUAUCCUAAUCGGCUAAGGAGCCGGUCUCGAAAACCGGUGGGGUUUUUGCCCCUUGUGGGUUCGAGUCCCACCGCCUCCGCCA